AAAACAUUAAAAAUUAAUUGCGAAUAUCGUAUUUUAUAUAAUUCAUUUUUUGUUUAUGUGCGCCAUCCCGGCUUGAUCCAAAAAUAAAUAUUUUACGACGUUUUCUCGAAUUUUUUCCAUUUUAUUGGUAAAUUAAGGUGCCGUUAGGUUAUUGGCGCAAUUUAUAGUUUUGGUAGUUUUAACGAUAUUAAAACGAGUUUUAUGGAGGUAAAUAGCGGGUUAUGGAGGACGAUAGGACGAUAACGAUUUCGGGCCAAAAUGGUUGACACCGAUUAUUAACGGGAGCAUCAAUACGGAAAGUUUUUUUUUUUUUUGGAGUUUCCCGCGUCGCUAAACACGAAAGGCGACAUGGAAAAGCGGUUCUAAUCAUAUUACCAUGCUUAUAAUGGGCCGCAGCCAUCGAGUUUGAUAUACGACGGAGGAUAGACAACACUAUUGGAAUAGAACAAGUUGUUUAAUCAAAAUUAGAGAAGAAAAACUGUCAGGUGACGAAUAAUGACCAUGCCAAAAAAAAAAAAAAAAAUUGCGUAGCGGAAUGUAGCGUGCAGACUUGUACAGUGGCAGUUUGGAGAGCUAUCCGAAUCUCACUCUUUAAUACUUUUGUAUCGGAUGGGGUAGAGUGCGCUAAAUUUUAAGUCGAGCACAGCCAAGUUUUAUCACUGCACGGUAAAGAGGAAAGAUGGAAAAGAGAACAGGUUCAUAGUCUUCUAUAAUAGUCCCGGCGGUGCCGUACAAUUAACGUGAACGUUAGCUUGGCUUCUAUUAUCUCUAUAAACAUCAGCAGCCGAGAAUCCAGAUUAUCUUUCGUUUCUACAACCCGCAUUAAAACGUAGACUAAAUAAUGUCAUUGUCAAUUAAUCCCACUCUUUCCAUUUUAUCUUCCCAUUCUGCCACACAUAUUUGACUUCAUUAAACUUACUAACAGAUUUUUUUUUACUUUUUUUGCAUUUGCCGUUGGACGUCCAUUGGUAUUUAGUUUUUACUUCUUAAAAAAAAAUCGAUGGAAUUGGCUGGAAGCAUUCGUUCAGUUUCCUUAUUUUUGUAAACUGAAAACUGCAAAGUUUACUCUUCGUAUUUAUAUUAGUUGGGGUGAAGCUGAGGAAAAGUGUGGCGAUAAUAUCGUCUAGAAUAAAUAAGUGGAUUAUAUAAAAAGUUUAAAGAAUCACUUAUUCAAUCCUAUAUUUAUACUAUAUAUCCAGUUAUUCAGAGUCGUGUUCCCGAACCAAUUUUAUGUAUUCUCUAAAGGAGGUUUUUAGAUAAGGUCUGGAAGGUGUUUCCUAUAGUUAAAAUGUGUGUGGUUCUUCCAAAAUAACGAAUUUUUUUUACCUAUUCUAAAAAAAAUAAUCCAGAAUAAAUCCAAAAUAUACUCGGACAUUUUUUUAUGAUACUCCGUAAUUCGAUAUCAACGUAAUUCCCAACAUUAACGAAGUUCGAUUAGUUAAUGAAGAAAGGCUUAAAAAAAGUGGCAUUUGGUUGUUAAUUUAACGGAAGAUGUCCUGUUCAAACACGACUUUAGUUUGCUAUUUUUCCGUUUAAUUUCUGUUGUUGUUGUAGCUCGGGGACAGUGGAGUUUGGAAGUGUCCAACGUAAACAAUAUAAAUGCAGUUGCUGCGGAAUUGAAUGCCGGUUGUAAAGACGGAAUAUCUGCUUCCGAACUAAUCUCCAAUCCCAUAAGUCCGCUGGCAUACAUACAUCCGUAUCCCAAAAGAGAUGCCAAUGCCAUAUCCAAAGUAGCUAGAAAACCUUUGAUGUUAGGGAGUAGCUGUCGCUCGAUAUUUCCAAUGUUCUCUACAUAAUAAUUGUUUACUCGGGCUUAGGAGGAUUGGUGGAUAGUAAGAACAGUUUAUAAUCCUAAGUCGGAAUCAGGCCCCCCCCUUUUUUUUAUAUCACCCCGUAAGAAUUAAAAUAAGAAAAAAAAAAGAAACGGUAAAGCGGUAGGGAGCGCUUAAAAGCGGAGGACUUGUUGUAAACCAACAGGUAUUUAAAAGGUGGAAGAAUUGGGGGAGUGAAAAACGACAUUUUAAAAGUGUUGUCGCCCCGCAGUGAUCCGCUACAUUCCUGUUAAAAACAGGUUUCCCGUGAGCCAUGCCUAUCCCAUAAUUCCACUCUACAUCACGGUUACAGUCGGGGGAGAGUCGGGAGGUCAGCUCCCGGACAUAAAACUGGCCAAGUCCAGGGGUGGUUUCUGGCCGGCGACGGUAACCAUGGAAACGACGUGACAGGAGGAGGGUUUCUAAGAACAUCUAGAAACUCUAAUCCAAGAGAAAUGACCAGACGGUUUGUUUCCACCGCCACCGGCCAGUGAAUGGACAGGGGUGAUUUAGGCACUUUGCCUCGAAUCCGUAGCGCGGACCGAGAGAGCCCGGCUCCAGCGGUUGCCAUGACGACGGCACUCGUCCGAUUCCAACGGGGCGGAGAAGGGAAGCGGACAAGUAUGCUCCGAAUUAAAAUCUCUUUCUCCUACCUACAGCGUGGGUGUGUCGCCGGCGAGGUGUCGCUGCAACUUUUAAUCAAAGAGCAGCCUAUCUAGCCCUGGGCACCCGAUAAACUUUAUCCCCGCCCGCCCGGCCGUCCGACCCUCCCGCCCGUUUUAUUGGAGCGUUGUAAUCCGAAGAGUCGGCCGUCGCUUCGGAAAUAUUCGUUAGAACACAAUGCCACUGUCUGAAGAAGCAAUAAGAAGAAAAUUUCCCUCCCCUCAAGCCACUGCCGGCCUCCCACCGGCCGCCGGAGUGGUCGGGUCCGCUCGACCGUUUGGACGCAGGAAGUGGGGAGAUGACCACUCCACCGGGCCAGGAGGGGACGCCCACUGUAUAUUUUCCAGAUAAAAUGUCUCCUUCCUACAUCCACCAAUAUCGGCCCUCAUUUUCCUGCCAUCCCAACAAUAAGUAGAGAAGCGUUAAACAGCUUUCUUAAUAAAUCGUUAGUAACUGCCACGGUAUCCUUGCAUAUUUAUUCUUUGCCAACUUUUCCUCUCUUCUCAAUUAGCCUCAUCAUCCGGGGAGGACGAUUUUCUGCCAAAUGGAAAUAAAUUGUUUCCGUUUCGAUAGUUUGAUUCUUUUCAAACUCGAUGACCAAAAGUUUACGCUCUAAACAUUCAGCAACGUUCAUUACUUAGAAAUUUUUUAUCGAUCAAUCUCAACGAUUUUUAGACGCCAGUGCAAAGCCGAAUUUCUAGAAAUUCGUUCAAUUGUACGACUCCAAACGGAUAAAAAUCUCUCUCUCUCUCUUAUUAAUUUUUUUCUCAUUUAUUCGUCCAUGAAACUGCUUCCACUUCCUUCCUCGUUUAUUCUCAAAUUUUCCAAUUUUUCUAAUUUGCUUAUUCGUGUAAUGGCGGGCCACGUGUCGUUUAGUGUUUACUUCAGACGAUUUAGUU
Molecule: long non-coding RNA, 3373 nt
Filed under: Androctonus crassicauda
Lineage: Eukaryota; Metazoa; Arthropoda; Arachnida; Scorpiones; Buthidae
Source: RNAcentral